Molecule: ribosomal RNA, 253 nt
Filed under: uncultured bacterium
Lineage: Bacteria
Description: partial 16S ribosomal RNA
Rfam family: Bacterial small subunit ribosomal RNA
Source: RNAcentral
UACAGAGGUCUCGAGCGUUGUUCGGAUUCAUUGGGCGUAAAGAGCGUGUAGGCGGUCCGGUAAGUCCGCUGUGAAAGUCCAGGGCUCAACCCUGGAAUGCCGGUGGAUACUGCCGGGCUAGAGUCCGGAAGAGGCGAGUGGAAUUCCUGGUGUAGCGGUGAAAUGCGCAGAUAUCGUAAGGAAGACCAGUGGCGAAGGCGGUUCUCUGGGCCUGUUCUGACGCUGAGGAGCGAAAGCGUGGGGAGCGAACAGG